UGGGCCCAGGAAGGGUGAGAGUCUUUUCUUACAUAACAAGCUAAAAGGGGCACAGGCACUGUGUUUUCCUCCCCACACUGUUUCCUCACUUUCGGCGCACGGCAAAGCCUCAGCCUACCUGCCUCACACCAUCAGAUCUGGAGCAGACAAAAACUGCUGGCCACUGCCCGCUCCUCCAUCUGGAACCUGCAUGGCUCGCCCACCUUUCCCCGCUCCACCUGGAGGCUGCGGUUAGCCCAGGGCUUCUCCGAAGCCCCCAAGGCAGCUGCAAAGAGUUAGGCUCUGCCAGCUGACCCUGUGGCGGCCAAGGGUGGGCUUGGGCCGCCCGGCUGCAGGAGGGGAAACCAGCAAGACCCCACGCACUGAGCUGCGCUUCCCUGAGCUAUGGGACGUGCGCCUGGGACUCAGCUCAGACAUGU
This 419-nucleotide telomerase RNA is filed under the name Dasypus novemcinctus (nine-banded armadillo). Its description in RNAcentral is "Vertebrate telomerase RNA (ENSDNOG00000026745.1)". It matches the Rfam family "Vertebrate telomerase RNA". From Rfam's summary of the family: Telomerase is a ribonucleoprotein reverse transcriptase that synthesises telomeric DNA. Telomerase RNAs differ greatly in sequence and structure between vertebrates, ciliates and yeasts, but they share a 5' pseudoknot structure close to the template sequence. The record is from RNAcentral. Lineage: Eukaryota; Metazoa; Chordata; Mammalia; Cingulata; Dasypodidae.